CACUUGAUGAUACAUGGAGUGCGCCUGCUUCAGUUCAUUUUCAGCAAGCAUGAGGUCCCGGUUCGAUUCCGGGUCGGGUGA
Mycena filopes is the source of this 81-nucleotide non-coding RNA. The record is from the annotation of a GenBank genome assembly. Lineage: Eukaryota; Fungi; Basidiomycota; Agaricomycetes; Agaricales; Mycenaceae.